Molecule: ribosomal RNA, 811 nt
Filed under: uncultured bacterium
Lineage: Bacteria
Description: bacterial SSU rRNA
Rfam family: Bacterial small subunit ribosomal RNA
Source: RNAcentral
ACUGUCAGACUAGAGUCAUUCAGGGGCAAGUGGAAUUCCUGGGGUAGCAGUGAAAUGCGUUGAUAUCAGGAAGAACACCAAUGGCGAAGGCAGCUUGCUAUGGCUGUACUGACGCUGAGGAGCGAAAGCGUGGGUAGCGAACGGGAUUAGAUACCCCGGUAGUCCACGCCGUAAACGAUGCAGACUAGGCAUUGGGAGCAUCGACCCUCUUUGUGCCGAAGCUAACGCGUUAAGUCUGCCGCCUGGGAAGUACGACCACAAGGUUAAAACUCAAAGGAAUUGGCGGGGACUCGCACAAGCGGUGGAACAUGAGGUUUAAUUCGACAAUAAGCGAAGAACCUUACCAGGGCUUGACAUCUCUGGAACCUGCUGGAAACAGUGGGGUGCCCCUUUCUUAUAACAAUGCCAUUUUUAAUGGUCUGAUUGAUUGCAAAUUUUUAUUUGGCAGUCAGUCGGUUAAACUUGUUAUAGGUAAGGGGAGCCAGAUGACAGGUGCUGCACGGCUGUCGUCAGCUCGUGUCGUGAGAUUUUCGGUUAAGUCCGAUAACGAGCGCAACCCCUAUGAUGUGUUACUUGUGUCACAUCAGACUGCCUGGGUUAACCGGGAGGAAGGUGGGGAUGACGUCAAGUCAGCGUGGCUCUUACGCUCUGGGCGACACUCGUGUUACAAUGGCGGCUACAAAGGGUUGCAAAACCGCAAGGUUGAGCUAAUCCCCAAAAGUCGUCUCAGUUCGGAUUGGAGGCUGCAACUCGCCUCCAUGAAGCCGGAAUCGCUAGUAACCGUGGGUCAGCCAUACCACGGUGAAUACGU